RNAcentral lists this ribosomal RNA (263 nucleotides) under uncultured bacterium. RNAcentral's name for it is "partial 16S ribosomal RNA". It matches the Rfam family "Bacterial small subunit ribosomal RNA", at positions 524 to 786 of the family's 1533-position model. The record is from RNAcentral.
UACGUAGGUGGCAAGCGUUGUCCGGAAUUAUUGGGCGUAAAGCGCGCGCAGGUGGUUUAAUAAGUCUGAUGUGAAAGCCCACGGCUCAACCGUGGAGGGUCAUUGGAAACUGUUAAACUUGAGUGCAGGAGAGAAAAGUGGAAUUCCUAGUGUAGCGGUGAAAUGCGUAGAGAUUAGGAGGAACACCAGUGGCGAAGGCGGCUUUUUGGCCUGUAACUGACACUGAGGCGCGAAAGCGUGGGGAGCAAACAGGAUUAGAUACC